This 719-nucleotide long non-coding RNA is filed under the name Homo sapiens (human). RNAcentral's name for it is "HSALNT0079460". The record is from RNAcentral. Lineage: Eukaryota; Metazoa; Chordata; Mammalia; Primates; Hominidae.
ACGUGCUCCACAAUGAAGAAAGAUGGUCAGACAUUUUACUUUGCCUUUUACUAAGUGAAGAUGUGAAAGUUAGAUGGUCCUGUGGCGUUCACAUCUUUAAUCAGUCUUACUUGGAACUCAGUAUAUAUAAAGGAUCCGAUCAGAGAUGUCUUGUUUGAAAUGGGGGUAAGGACCUGCAGGCAUUGCGCCUGUAUGGCCUUCCUGCUGAACCCCUGCGGUGGCCUUGGGCAUUUCCUCGGACACCAGAGGCUUCUGGAAAUCACAACUGGGAAACCUCCACCUGAAUGUCUCUUCUUAUUGAUGAGUUACCCGAGGAGUUCCCAAGGCUGCAGAGCUCAGCAGGGGCAGAGCUGCCGGCAAAGCCCAGCUCCCCUGACGCUCCACCAGAUUCUGGCUCCCUGGCCCCGCCCCAGCGUGCUGCCUCUGCACGUCAGUUAGCGCCUGCAACACCGCACUUAAUGAGGACAAACAAAUGUGCUCAUCGCAUUGAGUUCAAGUGCGAAUGAUGUGAUCUUUCUGCUCCUGCUUAGCAAUCCCUUCUCUGGAAAGAUCUAGGGCAGACACCGCAGAGCUUUAAACAUCGACUUCCAGAGAGCAGAGCAGGCGCUACCAAGACCUUUUCUGAGGGCUCAAACCAGACAGAUGGAGUAAGCGGCCAUGAAGUAAUACUAACUUACAAUUACUGCUCUGUAUUUUUAAGUUAAUAAAUAAAUAAUUCU